CACUACUGGGUGUCGAUCGAC
Molecule: non-coding RNA, 21 nt
Filed under: Arabidopsis thaliana (thale cress)
Lineage: Eukaryota; Viridiplantae; Streptophyta; Magnoliopsida; Brassicales; Brassicaceae
Source: RNAcentral